UACGUAGGGUGCAAGCGUUAAUCGGAAUUACUGGGCGUAAAGCGUGUGUAGGCGGAUUCCUAAGUACCUUGUGAAAUCCCACGGCUCAACCGUGGAACUGCUCGGUAUACUGGGUGUCUUGAGCCACUUAGGGGCGACCGGAACAAAUGGUGGAGCGGUGAAAUGCGCAGAUAUCAUUUGGAACGCCAAUGGUGAAAACAGGUCGCUGGGAGUGUGCUGACGCUGAGACACGAAAGCCAGGGGAGCAAACGGG
This 253-nucleotide ribosomal RNA is filed under the name uncultured bacterium. Its description in RNAcentral is "partial 16S ribosomal RNA". It matches the Rfam family "Bacterial small subunit ribosomal RNA", at positions 524 to 776 of the family's 1533-position model. The record is from RNAcentral.